AAAAAAAAAAAAAAAAAAAAAAAAAAAAAAAGGAGUUUUGCGUUGAAGAAAAUUAGGGUUUUGCGUCUUUGAGCAAACGGCACGAUCCAGAGGGUCGGUUAGCAGCGACUGAGGUGUGCUCAAACAAUGAUCACAUAUGGAGGAGACAAUCCCGUUUUCUGCACAGCCAGUGAUAACUACAAAGACAGAUCCAUUUUCAUGAUUUGGUAAAAAAAUUAUUCUGUCAGGUUCCAAAGACAGAUGAAUGAGGAAGGUUAUUACACCAGUGCAAUUACAAAUGAUACCCCAAAUUGCUCACUAUCAACCAGAUUAUUGAGCCCCACGAAGAUUGUACCAUGUGGUUGGAUGAUGACUUACUGAGGCUCCACGAUUGGGAAAAGCUCUUUCUGAACGAGAACCGGACACCUUUAGAUAUUAAUAGGGGGUGAAGCUUCUGCCUCAGUAUCAUUUUGGUGAUAGGGUACCAACAGAUUCACUUCCAGCAUGGUGAAAUUACAAAUUAUCCAGAAAUUUUCUGUAAAAAGGGCAAAAAGCUGUGUGUCUAUGAAUCAGCCACAAAUUAUCCAGCGUGGGAAAAGACAUGGACACAGAUUUCAUAGACACACAGCUUUUUUCUUUUUUUCCAAAAAGAAGCAGUCUCAGUUCUCCAAAGGUUCCUCUGCAACUAUGGGGUUAUUGAAAAUUUUCUUAAAGGAAUUGUUUUGGGAGUGGGGCUUGAGUCCUUGGUGGCAGAAGAGCAUGAAGAUGACCAAACUUAUGUUUAAUUGUAGGCUUAUUUUAUGGGUGAUAUGAAUGCCUUGGUGCUUUUGUUUGGAAAGUUGUUUGGAAAGGAGAAGUAUGGCUGGGGUCUUUGUCAUUUGUUUGUGUUUGGAUUUUUAUUGUGGGGUCUUAAAAGAGUGGUACUUUUUUUUUAUAAGUGAAAAGAGUGACACUUUAAUGAACAAUCAUGUUUUUUCUUAAAAAUUUCUUAUUUCACAUAUUCAUUCCUAUUAGAAACAAUGUUAGAAAGAUCAAAAAAUAAUGUUUUACUUGGCUAUUAUCUGCAUACUUAAACUAGAGUAAUGCUUUUGAGAUUGUCCUUUGACAACAAGAUUUUGGAACUAACUAUUUAUUUAUUUCUAUCUAUAUCUAAAUGAGAUAACUUACUUACUGCUCAUUAACAGAUUAGAUGCCUUUGGGUUAUCUACCAUUGCCAAUAAGCUUUGAAAAGUAUGCUUUUUCUUCUUUCUUCUUUUGUUUUUGUUUUUGUUUCCGAAUUCUCUUAUUUUGUGUUGGAAUUGAGUUCUUAUUUUGUGAAGCAACUGUAUUGGUCUCGUUUCUGUUUAAAGAGUAUCAUGAGAUGCUUUCAUUCAAGUAUGGCUUCUAUUGCUUUGAUCUAGUUUUUUUUUUGUCUUUUUUCUUUUUUUUCUUUUUCAGAUUUGAGUCCCUGGACGAGCCAGAAAAUUGUCCAAUAAUAUUGCAAAAAUAGUUUUUGUGGCAAAAACAGUUUUAUUGUAGUACUUAUGAUUGGUUGUUAUUUUGUUGAGUCUUGUGAUGGGAAAACACUUGAAAUGGAUUGUUUUUAUUUAUUUUUAUAUAAUUAGAUUCUAUAUUAACUGAAUUGAUUGUAUAAUUAUUUAUAAUUACAUGCUUGAGGGUAUUCACUGAGUGGUACUUUUCACCAAUGGACAAUCAUGUUUUUUUUUUUUUUCAUUUUUCGUGCAUUAAAAUAGGUUAUCUCCCUCCCAAAAGUCAAUUAGGUUUCCUGCUUAUUCUUCUACUCGUAACUUUUCUCUAUGUGGAGAAUAACAGGAACAGAAUAAUCUAAAGACACAUAGAAAGUAACCAAAGAGCAUGCACAUAUAGUGUAUAUAUACAUAUAUAUAUACUUGGGAUAAGGGUUGUGAUUCGUUGAGAGAAUGUUAUUUUUGUAAAUGGAAUGAAGGAUCCGCUAUGCAAAGCUUGGUGAAGGUGUGAAGAAGAAAAGAUAAAGUACACCAUCAUUGUUCGUUCUCUUUCGUGGUCUCACGGGUCAUUGAAGAGGUGGAGUUUGGAGGGGUCAUAUUGUGAAGUUUCACUCUGCCGAAGGAGUAUUAUGUUGGCUCACCUAUAUGCUUUCAUGCUCGAAUCAUGUUUGAUUUUGAUGGGAACAUACUGAAGUGCUGUUUGGAAUUGCUUGAAAAAUUAAAAGCUUUUUUAUUUUGAAAAAUUACAUUUAAAUUCAAUAACUACUAUUAAAAGCACUUUUGAUAGUAGUUAUCAAAUUUAGCUCAGUAUAACUUCUGAAUGAGUAAGAAUUUGGAACUUUCAAAUUUGUGUUUUUUAAGUAGAGGUAAUUUUUUUUUUUUUUUUUUUUCAUUAGACAAAUUUAUCCUUCUUAUUUUUUAUAGAGACAAUUAUAUUCAUUCCUUUAUGGUAACAUCUUUUGAAAUGAUAUUAUAUAUACACACACAUACUUCAAGCUUUAAGGUCAAAUUUAAGGGGUUUAGAGUGUGAUUUGUGUGAUGAGUAUGAAGGCAAAGUGAAAGGGCUUUGAGAAAGCUUCCAUUUGUCAUCCAUCUUGCUAGGGUUUGGAGAAAAUUUCGAAUUUAGCUUGCACUAGGGGGCUUGUUUGGCUAAGACGAGGUAUGGGUUUUCUAAUACCUUGAACUUUGUCUUUUGUUGAGAAUUAAAAUCUAGUUCUUUACUAAAUUUCUUAUUCAAUGUCAUAACAUGAUUUAAUUACUAGUUGGAAGUAGAUGAUAUGUUCAUUUGAUUUAAGCAUGCUUAUGUGUGAUUUGUAUGAUGCCAUUGGUGCUAAGUUUUAAAUGCUACUAUGGUUGUUAAUGUGAAUGGUGAGAUGAGCAUGCUUGUAGUCAUAUUGUAGAAGAUACUAUGCUUGUUGCUAUAUUGUAGAGAAUGCCAUGCUAGUACUUGGUACCUUGUUAAUGCCACGUCUAUGUUCAUUUCGUUAAGAAUGUCAUGUACACACCAUUGUAUCUACAUUGAUGAAAUUGAGACUAAGAGUAUGAAUGAUAGUACUUUGCAUGGCAUGGAAGGGGGAAAAAGGAACUGGAAUGGGUUUGAAUAAAAUUUUAUAAAAGAAACUAAAUUUCGCGAGUCUGAUGCUAACUUUGACCUAGAGGAAGCGUGUGCCGAUUUAAGACGCAUAAAGUUGAUUUCUAGACCCAAAUGGUUGUCGAUUUAGAGGCCAGGGAUAACUAAUCAAUCUCGCAUCGGUAAAGUCUGUUAGCGGUUUUCGGUGUGUGUUAGGGUCGGUAGAGACCAAGUUGGGGACAUAGUGCAUUGCAUUGCAUUUUUAUGCAUACUUGUGAUAAGUUAUAUAUUUGCCGUGAUGAGAAUGAUCAUGUGAAUUAAAUACUAUAGAAUCCCUGAUGCAUGACCCAAGUUCCGUUUUAUUCCCGUUAUGUGUUUCAUGGCUCAAAGGAGUCCAAAGUUGAUGCAUUUGGAAACUUCUACUGAGCCUCUGUGCUCACCCCUUCCUUUAAUAUUUUUCAGGUCAUGGCAAAGAUGUAGUUGAUGACAGGCCUUCCUAAAGAUAGCUGGAGUUGAUAGAAUUAUGUUUUGUUGUAUUUUGUAAUCAAUGGUUAGCCACAUCUAUUCUUUUGUAAAGCAUUAUAAUGAGGCCUUGAAUGUCAUGACAUUUAUCUUUAUCCUUUUGGGACUAUUUUGUAUGUAAUGGGGCAUGAGAAGAAUGAAUGGCGAUCAAUUUAGCGA
Long non-coding RNA from Cornus florida, 3696 nucleotides. RefSeq lists it as uncharacterized. The record is from RefSeq and is a predicted model, not a curated record. NCBI's taxonomy places the organism in Eukaryota, Viridiplantae, Streptophyta, Magnoliopsida, Cornales, Cornaceae. The transcript is spliced from 4 exons.